Molecule: transfer RNA, 75 nt
Filed under: Chloroflexota bacterium
Lineage: Bacteria; Bacillati; Chloroflexota
Also listed under: 1 other name
Description: Chloroflexi bacterium (bioreactor metagenome) tRNA-Met
Rfam family: tRNA
About the family: Transfer RNA (tRNA) molecules are approximately 80 nucleotides in length. Their secondary structure includes four short double-helical elements and three loops (D, anti-codon, and T loops).
Source: RNAcentral
UGGCGAAUAGCUCAAUGGUAGAGCGCGGGUCUCAUAAGCCCGUCGGUGGUGGUUCAAUUCCACCCUUGCCAACCA